UACGGAGGGAGCUAGCGUUGUUCGGAAUUACUGGGCGUAAAGCGCGCGUAGGCGGCUUUGUAAGUUAGAGGUGAAAGCCCGGGGCUCAACCUCGGAACUGCCUUUGAUACUGGGGAUCUCGAGUCCGGGAGAGGUGAGUGGAACUGCGAGUGUAGAGGUGAAAUUCGUAGAUAUUCGCAAGAACACCAGUGGCGAAGGCGGCUCACUGGCCCGGAACUGACGCUGAGGUGCGAAAGCGUGGGGAGCAAACAGG
Molecule: ribosomal RNA, 253 nt
Filed under: uncultured bacterium
Lineage: Bacteria
Description: partial 16S ribosomal RNA
Rfam family: Bacterial small subunit ribosomal RNA
Source: RNAcentral